Molecule: ribosomal RNA, 623 nt
Filed under: Cladochytrium sp. SMS 013
Lineage: Eukaryota; Fungi; Chytridiomycota; Chytridiomycetes; Cladochytriales; Cladochytriaceae
Description: eukaryotic LSU rRNA
Rfam family: Eukaryotic large subunit ribosomal RNA
Source: RNAcentral
CGAAUUGUAGUUGAUAGAAACGUUUUCGGGGGUAGGCUGGGCACAAGUUGCCUGGAAAGGCACAUCAUAGAGGGUGAGAAUCCCGUCUGUGGUCCAGCUCUGCUCCUAUGUGAUACGUUUUCUAAGAGUCGGGUUGUUUGGGAUUGCAGCCCUAAAUGGGUGGUAAAUACCAUCUAAAGCUAAAUACUAGCGAGAGACCGAUAGCGAACAAGUACCGUGAGGGAAAGAUGAAAAGAACUUUGAAAAGAGAGUUAAACAGUACGUGAAAUUGUCAGAAGGGAACGGCUUGAAACCAGUCUUGCGUCUGGAAUUCAGCCUCUCUAACGAGGGGUGCAAUUCGCUAGAUGCAGGUCAGCGUCAGUUUGAGGAGGGGGAAAAAGACUAGAGAAGGUAGCCUUCGGGUGUUAUAGCUCUGGUUUCUACCCCUCUUUGGACUGAGGGCCGCGGCGUGAUACGGGGUUGAUGGGUUCCGGUGACCUACUGGUAAACUGCAUGCAGAUUGCUGGCAAGGCUCGCUUGAUUCCCUUUAGCUCCACACGUCUAGGAUGCUGACGAAAUGGUCUCAAACCACCCGUCUUGAAACACGGACCAAGGAGUCUAACGUAUAUGCGAGUGUAUGGGUG